ACCUGUUCCCAUGUCGAACACAGAAGUCAAGCUUCUUAACGCCAAGAGUAGUUGGGGGAUCGCCCCCUGCGAGGGUAGGACGUUGCCAUGC
RNAcentral lists this ribosomal RNA (91 nucleotides) under Pediococcus acidilactici. Lineage: Bacteria; Bacillati; Bacillota; Bacilli; Lactobacillales; Lactobacillaceae. The record is from RNAcentral.